GAGUUUGAUCCCUGGCUCAGGACGAACGCUGGCGGCGUGCCUAAUACAUGCAAGUCGAGCGGAGAAUUUGGAGCUUGCUCCAAAUUCUUAGCGGCGGACGGGUGAGUAACACGUGGGCAACCUGCCCUGCAGAUCGGGAUAACUCCGGGAAACCGGUGCUAAUACCGAAUAGUUUGUUUCAUCUCCUGGUGAAACACGGAAAGACGGUUUCGGCUGUCACUGCAGGAUGGGCCCGCGGCGCAUUAGCUAGUUGGUGGGGUAAUGGCCCACCAAGGCGACGAUGCGUAGCCGACCUGAGAGGGUGAUCGGCCACACUGGGACUGAGACACGGCCCAGACUCCUACGGGAGGCAGCAGUAGGGAAUCUUCCGCAAUGGACGAAAGUCUGACGGAGCAACGCCGCGUGAGUGACGAAGGUUUUCGGAUCGUAAAACUCUGUUGUGAGGGAAGAACAAGUACCAACUAACUACUGGUACCUUGACGGUACCUCACCAGAAAGCCACGGCUAACUACGUGCCAGCAGCCGCGGUAAUAC
RNAcentral lists this ribosomal RNA (534 nucleotides) under marine sediment bacterium ISA-3126. RNAcentral's name for it is "bacterial SSU rRNA". It matches the Rfam family "Bacterial small subunit ribosomal RNA", at positions 9 to 526 of the family's 1533-position model. The record is from RNAcentral.